Molecule: long non-coding RNA, 603 nt
Filed under: Amborella trichopoda
Lineage: Eukaryota; Viridiplantae; Streptophyta; Magnoliopsida; Amborellales; Amborellaceae
Description: long non-coding RNA (ATRI_LNC001435)
Source: RNAcentral
AAAAAACCAAUGAGUUUUACACUGAGAACACGAAAGAAGUAUUAGAUUGCACACAUAUUAAUAUUUCGAAUAUUUUGUCCCUUGCAUUAAUGAUUAAUUUUAAUUUUUUUCCCCUUCCACUUACGAUUCUCUCCCUUUCCUCGCUCAAAACCCAUCAAGCAACAGUGAACGCCGAGUCUCACUCCAUUAAUGGAGAUGGCUCAACCUUUGUUUGUGUGUCUAGUUGUGCUUGCAAGUCAUAACCGAGGAUCCUGGAAUUUAUAUUUCAAGAGUAAGCCUAGUAGACAGAGAGUGGCUCAUCUUCUCUCCAUUAUUGGAGAUGGCUCAACCUUUGUUUGUGUGCCUAGUUGUGUUUGCAAGUCAAAAUCGAGUAUUGGAUAUUUCCUGGAACAUAAAUGGUAAGGACCGUGGCAAGAAAACACAUUUGGAUAAACGGUGUGGUUUGUACAAGGCUGAGGCCUUACACGUCAAAGGCACAACUACAAAUAGUAUCAAAAGAUAUCAUCUACGCGUCAAAAAUCUUUGAAAUGGCUUGAAAUUUAUUUUUAUCUUUAAUUUUAAAAUUUAAAGCUUAAAAAAGAGUAUAGAUCAAGUACAUCUAUG